RNAcentral lists this transfer RNA (63 nucleotides) under Iolania perkinsi. Its description in RNAcentral is "tRNA-Glu". Lineage: Eukaryota; Metazoa; Arthropoda; Insecta; Hemiptera; Cixiidae. The record is from RNAcentral.
AUUUAUAUAGUUUUAAAAAAAACAUUUCAUUUUCAAUGAAAAAAAAACUUAAGUUUAUAAAUU